This 76-nucleotide transfer RNA is filed under the name Dehalococcoidia bacterium DG_22. RNAcentral describes it as "tRNA-Gly". It matches the Rfam family "tRNA". Rfam says of the family: Transfer RNA (tRNA) molecules are approximately 80 nucleotides in length. Their secondary structure includes four short double-helical elements and three loops (D, anti-codon, and T loops). The record is from RNAcentral. Lineage: Bacteria; Bacillati; Chloroflexota; Dehalococcoidia.
GCGGGUGUAACUCAGUUGGUAGAGUGCCUGCUUCCCAAGCAGGUUGUCGUGGGUUCGAGUCCCAUCACCCGCUCCA